Long non-coding RNA from Mauremys reevesii (Reeves's turtle), 1280 nucleotides. RefSeq lists it as uncharacterized. NCBI's taxonomy places the organism in Eukaryota, Metazoa, Chordata, Testudines, Geoemydidae. The record is from RefSeq and is a predicted model, not a curated record. The transcript has 3 exons.
UGGAUUCACGUCAAGGGAGAGGCCAGCUUGUGUGCUCAUUCCAUCAGCAACUGUGGCUUGCUGGGAGGAUACCAAAGCACAAGCUGUUGUGAUGUUAAUGGCUCAUCUCAUCUAACUUGCUAAACUGAAGCCAAGGGACAGCCACUGUGAGGUCACUGAAGCAUCAGCAAGCUAGAGGUGAUGUCAAGGUACAGGCCUUUGUGAUGCUGCUGAUUCAUCAAAGUUCUAGCUUGCAGAUCCUGUGUGAAGGACCAGAGUUGAGAGCUCCCCGACUCAGCCCCCUCCAGUUUACUGGGCCUCGUGGGGUUUGUUACCUCCCUAGGAACUCAGAAGCCCUGGGGUUCAAGGCUCAAGUUCUAUGCUGGGAAGCAAAGGUUAAUGAGCAAGGACCGGAAAUAGCUGGAACUCACUAGCCCCCCAGGAAGCCAGCCUGGAGCACACAAGAUAACAAGGAAGAGCUGAUCAACUGCCUGGUAAGCUAACAACUCUAAGGAAGAUUGCCUGCAGAGGGGCUCUUUCUGGAACAAAGCUCACAUGGGAAUAACCUUCUGAAAAUGCUACAGCAUGUCUGCUCAGCCACAGAGACUGCCACAGACACCCCAGACCUGUCCUUCACUCCUGUCAGCAGGUUCAAGGUCUCAGUCCUUAUCUUUAAGAUGCUCCAUGGCCUUGGACCAACAAUGUACCUAAAAAAUCAACUAAAGCUCUGGGAUAAAGACCAUGAUCAACAUCUUUGCUCCUGUGGCACAAUGGAAUAUUCCACCACAAGGUAAAACUCACGUGCAGGACAGAGCUUUCUCAGGGGCUGGCUCAAGACUGUGGAAUGAACUCCCCCAGGGACUAAGGACCAUCAUUAACUCUACCACCUUCCACUCCAAACACCAGGUUUGUGUUCAUCUUGGAGUGUAUAACUUACUGAAAGGCCCCAUGAGAGGUCACUAAAUCACUUCUAUGUUCCUGCCUUGGAUGCGUUCUUUGUCUCUUCAGAGAAGAUGCUCCAUCUCAUUUCAUCUCCACUCAUUAAAACAGUCACAUGAACACUCCUCACAGGGUUCCUCAGAGCACUCAGCAGUGAUGGAGUUUCAAACACCUCCAAUUAUUUAAUCUAUAAUUUGGGGGUUUUUUUGUUUUUGUUUUUUUGCAAAUGGUAAUUCUAGUGUAGAUUGCCUCUUGUCCCUCUCUUUUGCUUCAGAUGUGAUUUUUCUCCCACUGCAAAUAGGGCAUGUGGGGAUUAUUGAACAGAAAUAUAUCCAUAUUUUGUCUACAUCAUUUUGUAUUGU